This is a small nucleolar RNA of Apodemus sylvaticus (European woodmouse), 131 nucleotides long. RefSeq annotates it as small nucleolar RNA SNORA70. The record is from RefSeq and is a predicted model, not a curated record. Lineage: Eukaryota; Metazoa; Chordata; Mammalia; Rodentia; Muridae. The transcript has a single exon.
AGGAAUUUAGACACAUCCACUAGUCCUUUCCCCAUGGAGACAUGGUGUGCAGUGCUUGCGAACAGCAGCCUCCUUGCUAGCGUAUGUAGCCUGUCCUAUAUGGGUUGCCCUGAAGGACCUUGGAGACAAUA